UAUCUCUGUAGAGUCUGCAUAUCAAUAAGCGGAGGAAAAGAAACUAACAAGGAUUCCCUUAGUAACGGCGAGUGAAGCGGGAAGAGCUCAAAUUUGAAAUCUUCAAGGUUUUACCUUGACGAAUUGUAGUUUAAAGAAGUGUUUUCUGUUGAAGUUUUGGUAAAAGUUCUUUGGAAUAGGACAUCAUAGAGGGUGAGAAUCCCGUAUUUGACCAUUAUUUUCAGCUGUGUGAUACACUUUCAAAGAGUCGGAUUGUUUGGGAAUGCAGUCCAAAAUGGGUGGUAAAUUUCAUCUAAAGCUAAAUAUUGGCGAGAGACCGAUAGCGAACAAGUACCGUGAGGGAAAGAUGAAAAGAACUUUGAAAAGAAAGUUAAACAGUACGUGAAAUUGUCAAAAGGGAAGCGUUUGACACCAGUGUUGUUUUCUCGAAAAUCAAUUAAAAAAGGCCGGAUUUUGUGUUGUAUUGACCUUAAAAGCUUUCUUCACUCUUUUCUUGUCUUUUUUAAUGCACUUUUCGUUUAACAAGUCAACAUCAGUUUCUUUUGUUGUAAAAGGGUCAUUGGAAGGUGGCUUUCUUUUCGGAGAAAGUGUUUAUAGCCUUUGAUCUCUGCAACCGGAGAGACUGAGGUCUGCAGCGUAGACUCUUCGGGGUUAGAUACAUUUGUGCUAAGCUAUAGCUUUUUAUAGACAACUUGUUGACUAUAUUUAGUCUUGUGGCUUACUCGCUUAUGCUAUUUUACCUACGCUUAGGAUGUUGAUGUGAUACUGCGAGCA
Molecule: ribosomal RNA, 774 nt
Filed under: uncultured Neocallimastigales
Lineage: Eukaryota; Fungi; Neocallimastigomycota; Neocallimastigomycetes; Neocallimastigales
Description: partial large subunit ribosomal RNA
Rfam family: Eukaryotic large subunit ribosomal RNA
Source: RNAcentral